ACAGCAAUUCUUGAAAAAUAAAAGCAAAAUGUCACUAAACAAAUUUAAGAAUUCUCAGCCAUAAGUGAGUGGAAAUGCAAAUCAAAACAAAAAGAUACCACUAACAAAAAGAAAAUGUUAAUAGUAGCCAGUGUUGUUGAGGACACUAAAACAUAUUAUUCGUAUGUUUAUAAAUUGCCACAUGCUUUCAAAAAGGCAAUUUCUAGUAUCUAUCAAUAUGUCUAAUGUACAUGUCCUUUGAUAAAGCAAAUUCUUUUCUAGAAAUCUACUUACUGCAAUGUAGUGAUUAAGAACUUCGGUUUCAGAAAUAACUGGAGGCAAGUUCCUGCUAUUCCAUUUUUAUAUGUGUACCCUUGAAGUUCUUCAUUUUUGUAAGCCUGAAAUUACUCGUUUGAAAACAAGAUAGCAAUAGGAAAAUUGCCUCACAGGGUUAUUCUGUAGAUUACAUGAAACCAUGCAUGUAAUGCAAUUUACACAUUUUAGGAGUUGAUAAAUAUUUAAUAGUGUGAUUAUUAUUAAUUAUACUAUAGAUAUGUCUCAAGUGUGAAGGAAUAACUUUAUAAGAAUGUUUAUUAUACUCUAAUAACUUCUAUUAAUAGUAUUGAAUGCAAUCUUGAAAUCACUGCAAUUAUCUUUGUACAAUUGUGGCAAAUAAAUUGGUCUUAAGAAGACAGGAGAUAGGGAAAUGCUGCUCUCUGUGACUAAUGUCACAUAUGCAAUGGACGAAGAUUCAGAAAAUUAGUAUUGGUCAACGGGCAAGUAUUAAAAUGGCUAUUAAUACAUACAUUUAAUUCUAAAGCAUUAAAUGUUUGUUGA
Molecule: long non-coding RNA, 816 nt
Organism: Sapajus apella (tufted capuchin)
Lineage: Eukaryota; Metazoa; Chordata; Mammalia; Primates; Cebidae
Exons: 3
Source: RefSeq, a predicted model, not a curated record